This is an RNA transcript of Mangifera indica (mango), 2509 nucleotides long. RefSeq lists it as uncharacterized. The transcript has 9 exons. The record is from RefSeq and is a predicted model, not a curated record. Lineage: Eukaryota; Viridiplantae; Streptophyta; Magnoliopsida; Sapindales; Anacardiaceae.
AACAGAAUUGCAAAUACAUCAACCAAAAUUCUUUAAUAUGUUGAUUACCUUACAAGGUAGAUGAUAGGAGGCAUCCGGGUUUAUUGAUUUUCUCAACAAAAUAUAAACUUGUCCAGAAGUUUCGAAUCCAAAAGAUACAAGUUCUUGGAUAGGUAAUGUGUGUCAGAACGAGAGAUCUAAGAAGUGGGUUGAAAGCGUUCUGCUACUCAUAAUUGAUUGAAUACAGACGAAAAAAGGUUCUUUUUCAACAGCGGUGGCAGUAGGGUAGGGACAGUCACAGGGUUGCCACCACCUUGACCUUCUGCCAGAUAUUGAUUGAGUGGGAAUCAUUUUUUCUAGCACUUUUUCUUCUUCUAUCUUCUUUCCGUUCCCACUUGCCGCCUCUCACCUUUAUACUUCACCCCAAGACUUACCAGGAAACUACCAUUAACUCCCUGUCCCUCUCUCUCUUUUAUGCUUCAAAGCUUUUCUUCUUCUUCUUUGUUUUUUUUUGGGGUUCCUGCUUCCGGGUUCUCGUUUCUUUCCCACUUUUUGUCAAAAAAAUGGGAAUUGGAGAGGAGAAGCCAGUGUCUGAGGACUCUCAUGAGGCUGCUGCUGCAGCAACCGAAAAUGUAACUGUUAGUCCAGUUUACAAGGUUGAAGAUUCAAUGGGAAUAAUUAAAGAAAAUAGUCAUUCUCAAAAUUGGAAGCAAAGAAACCUCUUUUUAGAAAUACCCUCAAGAACACUCGAAGACUCUUCACAAGAAUCUGUCAUAUUAAGGAUGCCCCCAACACCUAGUACCACUCCAACUCCCAAGAGGGUAAAUUUCAACUUGAAUCAUGCGGAUGCAAGAACAAGUGGUUCCCCUAGCCCUUCCUUAUCCAGAGCCAAAUCGUCCAUAAAAGGUCUCUUACCAAAACUAAGUUUCAAGUAUCGAAGUUCUAACUCAGAUUUUGAGAAGGCUGCCAACCUAGCUCCAGAAGCUUCAAAUAUGGCACCACGGGAGAAGCCUUCCAUCUCAAGGUCAUUGUCACUAACAAAGGUUUUUACUCCCAGGAUAAAGAAAACGUCAUCGCUGCCUGCAACUCCAAUCAUGCAUACAAACCUGGAAUCCACAUGCAGUGGAAAUGUUGUUGAUUCUCUAAAUUCAAGUAGAAAAGAGACCCAGAAGCAGAUAUAUCGUUCACUUUCAGUUCCUGUCAAUAACAAAGAAGGGAGCAUAAGGAGAAUGGAUUCAUUUUUUCGAGUAAUUCUUGCAACUCCUCAAGUAAAGGAAGGAGAGGUGGUGUCAGAUAUAUCUCAGAUAGAAGCAGAAAACAAUAGUGAGGCUGAUGGCGAAGACAUACCUGAAGAAGAAGCCGUUUGUAGAAUUUGUAUGGUUGAACUGUGUGAAGGGGGUGAAACCCUCAAGAUGGAAUGCAGCUGCAAAGGAGAACUUGCUCUGUCACACAAAGAAUGUGCCAUAAAAUGGUUUACCAUUAAAGGUAACAAGACAUGUGAUGUGUGCAAGCAAGAGGUUCGGAACCUACCUGUCACUCUCUUACGAAUUCAAAGCAUGAGAACUCGAAAUAGUGGAGCAGACGUAGGCCAGGUGGCAGAUCUCAAUGAAUACAGGGCUUGGCAGGAAGUUCCUGUGCUUGUAAUUGUCAGCAUGCUUGCCUAUUUUUGUUUUCUCGAGCAGCUUCUGGUCACAAACAUGGGUAUUGGUGCAAUUGUAAUAUCCCUUCCAUUUUCUUGUGUAUUGGGUCUCCUCUCAUCCAUGGCCUCAUCAACAAUGGUAAAAAGAAGGUUUGUCUGGGUCUACGCAUCAAUACAAUUCGCCCUGGUUAUUCUAUUUGCUCACAUAUUUUAUUCUUUGGUUCAGGUGCAAGCAGUUCUGUCAAUUCUCCUUGCAACAUUUACCAGCUUUGGAGUUGCCAUGAGUGGGAGUUCUAUUCUUGUUGAGUUCUUGAGAUGGAGAAGAAGAUGGCAAGUUCAGUCACAGCAGCAACAUCAUGGUUUUCAAGUGUUGGGCAGACCAGGCCAACUCCCAUAUUCACCACGGAGGGUUUCUCGUGAUCGCCACCAGGCGGAUUUAGAAAAUUGAGAAACUUUCACUGGGAGUUAAACCAUCGAUUAUUUAGUAUAGCUAAACAUAAAAAGGAUCAACAGUAGUGGACCGCACCAGGCUUGGAAUGUACAAGAUUCUCAGACCUGGAAGGUAAGUAUCUGAUGAGUAGAGCUUACCUUUCAUAACUUGAAUGCCCUAGUCAAAGGAGAAUAAAAUAGAAGUGGGUAUUUUUGGCCAUGAAAACAAUGAGGGUACAGUCUAGACGUUAAUUCCUUGAUUGAAGAGUUAUACAGGUGCCUUAUUUGCAUACUAUGAUGAAGCUUUAAAUGAACUUAAAACCAGCUAAAACUAUAAACUAAAACGAUACAAUUAUCACAAUAUUCGCCUGAUUAGUGUGUAAAUAGUGUUAUUGUAGACUUGAACCAUAAUUAGUAGCUUAACCAAUGGAAAUGCUCUACUUGCCUUCAUUAGGCUCAAAA